Long non-coding RNA from Xenopus laevis (African clawed frog), 1900 nucleotides. RefSeq lists it as uncharacterized. NCBI's taxonomy places the organism in Eukaryota, Metazoa, Chordata, Amphibia, Anura, Pipidae. The record is from RefSeq and is a predicted model, not a curated record. The transcript has 4 exons.
GGCACUAGGACCAUGCAGCCACAGGAAGGGGUGCGUGCACGAAGCAUCAGGCGCUUGGACCAUGCAUCCUUGGGGCGCUGCUUCCUCAAAUCUGGCCCUGCCCAUCACUAUUCACAGCUCAGAUAUGCUCAUCCCCUAAAGCAGUGCUGUCCAAAUAGCAGAAAUUCAAAUAGGGAAGGUGCGCUUAAACAACAGUGUAGCUGUCCCAAAAUCUGAAAAGAAAAAAGUAUUCCCUGCAGCAAGCCUGUAAAAUGGACGUAAUGUUUUGCAAAAUAGAACUACUCACAAAAAUCUUGUAAUAUUCGUGCCAUUAGGUAUUUGCAGCUGGAUUGGAAAUUAGGCGUCUUUUUAGGUAGUGCCUAUAGGGAAAAAAACGUUUUUUGCAAUAUAGUAGGUGUAGUUAUAAGACUGCAGUGCACAGUCCUCGCUUACCCCUCAAACCUGCGACGGAUGCAUAUAAAGUAUCGCUGAUCCGAUCCUCGGGAUGUCGCCCUCAAUGGUGUUAGAUCAGGAGCGCUGAAUUUUGGAGCGAUUUUCUGAGUACGGAAAGGUGGGUGCCGGUACUUGGUUACUGAGCGCCUCAGCGUGCGAAGCGCUUCCGUCUGAAGCGGUGGUUUCCUUGGUGUGGAGCGAUGGUAAUUUGCAGGUUCCACACGUACUAUGAAAUCUCGUUGGCAAUAAAUCCAGUGAGCUCAGACAAGAAGAGGAACGUAAUGAAAAGGCAGCAGCAGAUGGAAAUUGUAGCUCCUGUAUAGGUUGGCUGUGUCAAAUCUUUGGGCACUUUCCGGUAGAUAUCAAAUCUGGGGGUCUGGCAUGCAGAUUUAAAGGAACCGCUGCCAGAUAAUCAGCACCAAGUGACAAGAUCCCACUUCAAGCCUGCCGGCUACAUACAAAGGAACUGGCGUCAGAGCAGGACGCUUUGCAGUUUGUGAUUGGCCGCCGGUUCAGGAGGAGUAUAUACCGGAAAGUGCCCAGAAAGUUUUUUUCCCUAUAGGCACUACCUAAAAAAAAAUUCCAAUCCAGCUGCAAAUACCUACUGGCACGAAUAUUACAAGAUUUUUAUUAAGAAACUAUUGGAUGAGGCGGUGACACACGAAUGGAUCACAGAGGAAACCAGGGACUACUUAUUUGUGGAACAUCCGCAUUGGCCGCUAAUCAGCACGGAUCCGGAUCUGUCGAAGUUGGUGGAUAAGAGACCUCAUAUGGGUUACAAACGGAAUAAGAAUUUGAGGGAAUUAUUGAUACCGGCUGAUCCAACAAACAAGCUUUUGUAUUGUGGUAAGACCACGAAGCAGCUGAGAGACAGAAUCAGCAUGCACCGUUCCACGAUCAGAGCAGCACUGGAUUCGGAUUACGACACCAAAAGGGGUAAACAAGAUAUAUCUAAGCAACCUAUUGCUCAACACUGGUUGAAGGUGAAGCACUCGAUCUCAUCAUUUAAAUGGAUGCCCAUAGACUAUGUGAAACCUCCACGUAGAGGUGGGGACGUUGAUCAAAUUUUACUUCAGAAAGAAGCAUUCUGGACUUUUGAAUUGGGAUGCGUAGCAACACUUUGAUUGUUACAAUUUUAUUAUAAUAAUUUCAACAAGUAACAUUGCAACACUGUGGUUUGUUUUUAACUUUGUUUUAAACUGUUAUUUAAAAGUAGCCUUUUGGUUCCCUAUAAUGGGUUUAGAUAAAUUAACCAUUUAAGCAACACUUGUGUGCAGCAAUGAAAGUUGGUUUGAUUGGCAGUCGCUAAAUGCUGACAAUUACAUCACGUCAACCAGACUGUUGUUUGCCUGCCUUAUCAUGUGUAUAAAAUGCAUUUUCAAUAUUGAAUUGUUACUUUGAGAAAGGACUGGGACCAGGCCAAAACGUCAGUCGUAACUUCUACAAUAAAUCAUUUUUUCCUUUUAAG